GGCUGAAACAUUUCAAGGUGGAAGGCAAUUUGACAUUUCUUCAGCGGAACCCAGCACCUGAAUAUGGCGAGUAAAUUUGAUUUAAUAUCAAUACUACUUAGUGUUCUUUGUUACUUCUAUCUGCUGUCAUUAAUUGCCACAUAAGUUAAACCCUACCUAAUGGAAUGACGUUAAACAAUGACUUUGGUGCUGAGUUACCAACUGGAUAAUAUCAAAGCUAAAAUAAUGGCCGUCCUUCCCAUGUGUUACAGUAGAAGAUACUCUGUAUCUGUACAAGGUUAAAAAGGUAACAUGUAGUUUGUCCCAAGGUGUCCACCUCCUCACCCAGAGCCAGACCUCCACCUCCUCACAAGUCCUCCAGAACAGCUGAAAGGCAAGGCUGGGGGCCGGAGGCUUGUGGUGCCAGGGUGGACCGGAGACUGAGGCUGGAGACCAGGGGCCUGCAGCACCGGACCAGGGGACCAGGAAUCCAUGGCUGAAGGAGCUGAUGGAGCCGUGCUGAAGGAGCUGACGGAGGCCCUGCCUGGUGGAGGAUGUCUGUCGUGGGGUAGAUGGAGCCUGACUCUGAAACCAGGACUCUGUCUGAGGAGAGCUGAUGGAGGAGCUGAGACGCUGGAGGACGACUAGGAAUCGACCAACAGGGAUUCCUCGACGUAUUUCUGGAGCGGAGGCGAGCUGGUAGGGGAGCCAUGAAUCUGGAGGAUGACCAUGACUCUACCAACAAGGAUUACACACCUGAGCUGAACCUCACCUGAUCCUGUUUGGUCGGGGGCAGACACACCUGCGCUGAACCCGCCCUGAUCCUGACAUCCUGCUGGUCCCGUCUCCUCAGUUCAUCUGAGCCUCGUCCUCCAGAAGACCUGCUGAGCUCAGCAGUCUGAGGCUGAUGGAUCAAUGACCUCCAGUGGGAGUGAUCUUCUUGACCCCACAUACCAGGAAUCCAUGGCUGAUGGAGCUGAUGGAGGAGCCGUGCUGAAGGCCCUGCCUGGUGGAGGAGCUGAUGGAGGCCCUGCCUGGUGGAGGAGUCGUGCUGCAGGCCCUGCCUGGUGGAGGUGCUGAUGGAGGCCCUGCCGGGUGGAGGAGCCGUGCUGAAGGCCCUGCCUGGUGGAGGAGCUGAUGGAGGCCCUGCCUGGUGGAGGAGCCGUGCUGAAGCCCUGCCUGGUGGAGGAGCUGGUGGAGGCCCUGCCUGGUGGAGGAGCUGGUGGAGGCCCUGUCUGGUGAAGGACGUCCGUCGUGGGACCAGGACUCUGUCUGAGGAGAGCUGCUGGAGGACGACUAGGAAUCGACCAACAAGGAUUCCUUAGACCAAUUACGUUUGUAACCAGACCAGGAAUCUGGAGGACUGUACAUCUAGAAGGCAGAUCCUGAGGACCACCAGUACUCUACCAUUAAGGAUUCCUCACGCACCUGAGCUGAACCCGCCCUGAUCCUGACAUCCUGCUGGUCCCGUCUCCUCAGUUCAUCUGAGCCUCGUCCUCCAGAAGACCUGCUGAGCUCAGCGGUCUGAGGCUGAUGGAUCAAUGACCUCCAGUGGGAGUGAUCUUCUUGACCCCACAUGUAACCGUGUGCUUCCACACGCCUUUCCCUCACGUCUGUCACUAACCUCACUACUUCACUUCUCUCUACUGCUUCCUCUUCUUCUUCCUUCUCUGUGGUUCGAACCUUUACUCCGAAGGCGCGUCUUCCAGCCCUCAGAGGGUUUAGCGUUAGGGUUGAGAUAUAGGGUUUAGAGUCAGGGACAGAGCUGGUCAGGGAGGACUGCUUUUACACAAACCUCUUCACUUGCUUUCGGAAUGGUGGUGACAUUUUGAAAAGAUUCAUUUGGGAAAAUGUUUUCAUCUGCUUCCCUUUACAAAAUUGUAUUUAACUUCUGUCAAGUGUUUUUGUUUAUAUAUUAAAAUCCCACAUUGACUUCUACAUGUUUGGUGCGGUUCAUUUAAUUGUCCUUUUAACUUGGUUAAUGUCAAGCUAAACUCCUGCAAUACAUUUAAUAUACAUGAUUGUUAUUCAGCAAUGUUCACAUAAUCCAUUUAGUAAAAAUAUGAAACCUCAAUAUUACUACAAAAUUCAAGCCUAUUCAUGUAUUUAACAAUGUACAUACUGCCCUGCAGGCCAUUCUCUGCUACUACAACACUUUCAAACCACCAACCCAUCUCA
This is a long non-coding RNA of Gadus chalcogrammus (walleye pollock), 2157 nucleotides long. RefSeq lists it as uncharacterized. The record is from RefSeq and is a predicted model, not a curated record. NCBI's taxonomy places the organism in Eukaryota, Metazoa, Chordata, Actinopteri, Gadiformes, Gadidae. The transcript is spliced from 10 exons.